Molecule: ribosomal RNA, 546 nt
Filed under: uncultured archaeon
Lineage: Archaea
Description: bacterial SSU rRNA
Rfam family: Archaeal small subunit ribosomal RNA
Source: RNAcentral
CAGCAGGCGCGAAAACUUUACAAUGCGGGAAACCGUGAUAAGGGGACACCGAGUGCCAGCAUCAUAUGCUGGCUGUCCGGGUGUGUAAAAUACACCCGUUAGCAAGGGCCGGGCAAGACCGGUGCCAGCCGCCGCGGUAACACCGGCGGCCCGAGUGGUGAUCGUGAUUAUUGGGUCUAAAGGGUCCGUAGCCGGUUUGGUCAGUCCUCCGGGAAAUCUGACGGCUCAACCGUUAGGCUUUCGGGGGAUACUGCCAGGCUUGGAACCGGGAGAGGUAAGAGGUACUACAGGGGUAGAAGUGAAAUCUUGUAAUCCCUGUGAGACCACCUGUGGCGAAGGCGCCUUACCAGAACGGGUUCGACGGUGAGGGACGAAAGCUGGGGGCACGAACCGGAUUAGAUACCCGGGUAGUCCCAGCCGUAAACGAUGCUCGCUAGGUGUCAGGCAUGGCGCGACCGUGUCUGGUGCCGCAGGGAAGCCGUGAAGCGAGCCACCUGGGAAGUACGGCCGCAAGGCUGAAACUUAAAGGAAUUGGCGGGGGAGCAC